CAAAAAUUAUUUCAAAUGUAAUCAAAUUUGUGGAACAACCGGAAAAAAGAGGUGGAAAACGAAAAACUUCCGUGAAAGACAAUCGCAGAACGGACACUACGUGAAGCUGGAUUAGCAGCUCGCACCCCACGAAAAAUGCCACCCUUGGCACCAAAACAUAAGGCUGAACAGCUGAAAUGAGGCGUAAUAUUCUAUGAACUGACGAGUCUAAAAUAGUUGUAUAUGGCGACACGAGUUCACGAUAAUAUGUGUUUGACAUCCACCUGGCACCGAAAAUCAGCCAUUCGCUCUAAAAACCAUUAAACAUGCGCCUGAAUUUCUAUCUUUUGUUAUAAAAUUUUUGAUUUUUUGUUAUAGAAUUGAUUUAAAUAUGUGUUCAGUUAAAAAAUAGAAUAAUACUUCAAAAUAAUAAUAAAAUCUUUCUAAUCACGCCACAGA
This is a long non-coding RNA of Anastrepha ludens (Mexican fruit fly), 438 nucleotides long. RefSeq lists it as uncharacterized. The transcript has 2 exons. NCBI's taxonomy places the organism in Eukaryota, Metazoa, Arthropoda, Insecta, Diptera, Tephritidae. The record is from RefSeq and is a predicted model, not a curated record.